UUAUGGCUCAGGACGAACGCUGGCGGCGUGCUUCAUACAUGCAAGUCGAACGAUAAGGCACCUUCGGGUGUACAUAAGUGGCGGACGGGUGAGUAAUAUGUAGAGAAUCUGCCCUAGAGAGUGGGACAACAGUUGGAAACGACUGCUAAUACCGCAUAUGAGCGUACCUGAAAUGGUAUUCUUGAAAACUCCGGUGCUCUGGGAUGAGUCUGCAUCUGAUUAGCUAGUUGGGGGUGUAAUGGACCACCAAGGCGACGAUCAGUAGCUGGUUUGAGAGGAUGAUCAGCCACAAUGGGACUGAGACACGGCCCAUACUCCUACGGGAGGCAGCAGUAGGGAAUUUUGCGCAAUGGGGGAAACCCUGACGCCAGCAACGCCGCGUGACCGAUGAAGCCCUUCGGGGUGUAAAGGUCUGUCAGUGGGGACGAAUAUUGACGGUACCCACAGAGGAAGCAUCGGCUAACUCCGUGCCAGCCGCCGC
This 481-nucleotide ribosomal RNA is filed under the name uncultured bacterium. Its description in RNAcentral is "bacterial SSU rRNA". It matches the Rfam family "Bacterial small subunit ribosomal RNA", at positions 17 to 518 of the family's 1533-position model. The record is from RNAcentral.